GACGAACGCUGGCGGCGUGCUUAACACAUGCGAGUCGAACGGAAAGGCCCUGCUUUUGUUGGGUGCUCGAGUGGCGAACGGGUGAGUAACACGUGAGUAACCUGCCCUUGACUUUGGGAUAACUUCAGGAAACUGGGGCUAAUACCGGAUAGGAGCUCCUGCUGCAUGGUGGGGGUUGGAAAGGUUCGGCGGUUGGGGAUGGACUCGCGGCUUAUCAGCUUGUUGGUGGUGUAGUGGCUUACCAAGGCUUUGACGGGUAGCCGGCCUGGGAGGGUGACCGGGCCCAUUGGGACUGAGAUACGGCCAAGAGUCAUACGGGAGGAAGCAGUGGGGAAUAUUGCAAACUGGGCGGAAGCCUGAUGCAGCAACGCCGCGUGCGGGAUGACGGCCUUCGGGUUGUAAACCGCUUUCGCCUGUGACGAAGCGUGAGUGACGGUAAUGGGUAAAGAAGCACCGGCUAACUACGUG
This 468-nucleotide ribosomal RNA is filed under the name uncultured bacterium. RNAcentral's name for it is "partial 16S ribosomal RNA". It matches the Rfam family "Bacterial small subunit ribosomal RNA", at positions 28 to 507 of the family's 1533-position model. The record is from RNAcentral.